Molecule: ribosomal RNA, 839 nt
Filed under: uncultured bacterium
Lineage: Bacteria
Description: bacterial SSU rRNA
Rfam family: Bacterial small subunit ribosomal RNA
Source: RNAcentral
AGAGUUUGAUCCUGGCUCAGAACGAACGCUGGCGGCGCGUUUUAAGCAUGCAAGUCGAACGGUAGAGAGGUGCUUGCACCUCUUGAGAGUGGCGAACGGGUGAGUAACACGUAAGUAAUCUGCCUGGAAAUUGGGGAUAGCCUGUGGAAACACAGGGUAAUACCGAAUACGCCCUAUAGUAGGGAUACUAUAGGGGAAAGGGGCUAAGGCCUCGUUUCCAGAUGAGCUUGCGGUUCAUUAGCUAGUUGGUGGGGUAAAGGCCUACCAAGGCGACGAUGAAUAGCCGGCCUGAGAGGGUGACCGGCCACACUGGGACUGAGAUACGGCCCAGACUCCUACGGGAGGCAGCAGCUAAGAAUCUUCCGCAAUGGACGAAAGUCUGACGGAGCGACGCCGCGUGAACGAAGAAGGCCUAACGGUUGUAAAGUUCUUUUCUUGUUGAGGAAUAAUCGCUGUAGGGAAUGACAGCGAGAUGACGUUAAACUUGGAAUAAGCAACGGCUAAUUACGUGCCAGCAGCCGCGGUAACACGUAAGUUGCAAGCGUUGUUCGGAUUCAUUGGGCGUAAAGGGCAUGUAGGCGGCAUGACAAGUCUGGUGUGAAAUAUCUCGGCUCAACCGAGAAAACGCACUGGAAACUAUCAAGCUUGAGUAUCGGAGGGGAAGCUAGAAUUCCUGGUGUAGGGGUGAAAUCUGUAGAUAUCAGGAAGAAUACCGGUGGCGAAGGCGAGCUUCUGGCCAGAUACUGACGCUGAGAUGCGAAAGCGUGGGGAGCAAACAGGAUUAGAUACCCUGGUAGUCCACGCUGUAAACGAUGUGCACUAGGUGUUGGGGAGAUAUU